GACGAACGCUGGCGGCGUGCUUAACACAUGCAAGUCGAACGAAGAGCGAUGGAAGCUUGCCUCUAUCAAUCUUAGUGGCGAACGGGUGAGUAACGCGUAAUCAACCUGCCCUUCAGAGGGGGACAACAGUUGGAAACGACUGCUAAUACCGCAUACGAUCUAAUCUCGGCAUCGAGGAUAGAUGAAAGGUGGCCUCUACAUGUAAGCUAUCACUGAAGGAGGGGAUUGCGUCUGAUUAGCUAGUUGGAGGGGUAACGGCCCACCAAGGCGAUGAUCAGUAGCCGGUCUGAGAGGAUGAACGGCCACAUUGGGACUGAGACACGGCCCAGACUCCUACGGGAGGCAGCAGUGGGGAAUCUUCCGCAAUGGACGAAAGUCUGACGGAGCAACGCCGCGUGAGUGAUGACGGCCUUCGGGUUGUAAAGCUCUGUUAAUCGGGACGAAAGGCCUUCUUGCGAAUAGUGAGAAGGAUUGACGGGACCGGAAUAGAAAGCCACGGCUAACUACGU
Molecule: ribosomal RNA, 509 nt
Filed under: uncultured bacterium
Lineage: Bacteria
Description: partial 16S ribosomal RNA
Rfam family: Bacterial small subunit ribosomal RNA
Source: RNAcentral